GACGAACGCUGGCGGCGUGCCUAAUACAUGCAAGUAGAACGCAGUUGCGAACGGGUGAGUAACGCUUAGGCAACUUCCCCAUAGCGGGGGAUAACUAUUGGAAACGAUAGCUAAUACUGCAUACUGUGAGAUGGAUCUGCGUUGUAUUAGUUAGUUGGGGAGGUAAAGGCUCACCAAGGCGACGAUACAUAGCCGACCUGGGAGGGUGGUCGGCCACACUUGGACUGGUGAACGGCCCAGAAUCCUCAGGGAGGCAGCAAUAGGGGAUCUUCGGGAAUGGACGGAAGUCUGACCGAGCAACGCCGCGGGAGUGGAGAAGGUUUUCGGAUCGUAAAACUCUGUUGUUGGAGAAGCGGUAUCUAACCAGAAAGGGACGGCUAACUACGUGCCAGCAGCCGCGGUAAUUC
Molecule: ribosomal RNA, 407 nt
Filed under: uncultured bacterium
Lineage: Bacteria
Description: partial 16S ribosomal RNA
Rfam family: Bacterial small subunit ribosomal RNA
Source: RNAcentral